RNAcentral lists this ribosomal RNA (541 nucleotides) under uncultured Peritrichia. RNAcentral describes it as "SSU rRNA". It matches the Rfam family "Eukaryotic small subunit ribosomal RNA", at positions 1234 to 1821 of the family's 1831-position model. The record is from RNAcentral. Lineage: Eukaryota; Ciliophora; Oligohymenophorea.
GUAGGAUUGACAGAUUGAGAGUUCUUUCUUGAUUGGUCUAGUGGUGGUGCAUGGCCGUUCUUAGUUGGUGGAGUGAUUUGUCUGGUUAAUUCCGUUAACGAACGAGACCUUAACCUGCUAAAUAGUACAAGUAUUCCAAAUGCUUGUUACUUCUUAGAGGGACUAUGUGUUGUAAACACAUGGAAGUUUGAGGCAAUAACAGGUCUGUGAUGCCCUUAGAUGUCCUGAGCCGCACGCGUGCUACAAUGACAUAUUCAACGAGUAUUUCCUGAUCCGAAAGGAUUUGGGUAAUCUUUUUAGUGUAUGUCGUGUUAGGGAUAGAUCUUUGUAAUUAUGGAUCUUGAACGAGGAAUUCCUAGUAAGCGCAUGUCAUCAGCAUGUGCUGAUUACGUCCCUGCAAAAUGUACACACCGCCCGUCGCUAUUGCCGAUUGAGUGCUCAGGUGAACCUUCUUGAUUGUUGCAAAAUGAAAAAUUAAGUAAACCUUAGCACUUAGAGGGAAUAAAAGUCGUAACAAGGUUUCCGUAGGUGAACCUGCGGA